CCCUACUCGAACAGAACCAAAACCAUCUCCAUUUCUUCUCUUCAUCCUCUACAACGCCACUUGCAUCCCUCUCCAUCAAAUUCAUCCGCCCGACCAUCUCUGCUCACACCCGCCUCCAUAAACACAAUCAAACUCUUACUCUUUAUCUCUCUCCAUCUUAUCAUAAACAGUAACCCUAGAAGCUAAGAUUGAAAGAGAUAAGAUUAGGGUUAGCUGGAAAGUAAGCUUGCAGAGACAAAUUGAAGAUAUAAAUUGUCAGAAAACGCGUUUUGGGUACCUGCAAUACUAUUGCGAACUACAAGGAGGAGAAGAAAAAGGAGCAGGGCAUUUUGCUGUAGUGCCUAAACCCGGUUUUAUACCGGCGUGUUUUUGCAGGUAUUGCAAGACUCAUUAAGGGUGAUGAUGCGAAGUUUUUGGCUCGCUAUAGCAAGUAUAUCUACGUCAAUCGAAAUAAUGAAGUUGAGAUUUGGGUUGUUCGAAAUGGUUUCAAGGUUGUUGUGAAGUUGGGAAUUCAAAAGCUCGAAUCAAAAGUGACCCGACUCUCACAAUCCAGUCAUGUGAAUAUGGUAUCGGACCACCAUGAAAAAUGUAACAACUUGUUGAAGACAUUAACAGUUUGAAGGCCAAGUUGUCUAGUAUAGUUUUAUAGAAAAUCAAAUCACGUUGUUGAUUAUUUGGCAAAGUUGGAGUACGAAAAAACUUAAAGGAAGAUGGGUGGAUAACCCACCUGGUAGGAUAGUGAGUUUUUUUGAUAGAUAGCCUGUGUGGUAGAAUUACUCCUCAUAUUGUUUGGAGGAUAUCUAUUUAGCAGCUAGGUGUAUUUAGACUCUAGUGUAUUAAAAAAUAAAUGACUGAAAUAAAAUACGAGUAGAUUAAUAAUAAAAGACGGAUCCCUUGACAACCCCCUUAUUUGGUAAAGUACCAAAAUAUGGCAAGAGUCCGAUAACAAAUCAUAGACGGUCAUAAUCGAAAAGUUUCCAUUAAAUAUUUGAUUGAAAGCUUCCCGAUCUUAACCGUCUAUGAUUUGUUUUCGGACUUAUCAUACUUUUGUAAAGUCUAUCAAAUAAAAGGGUUGUCAAGGGAUCCCCCGUCUGCUAACAAUGGUUUACCAGAUAUUCCUCACCAGACGCUAAGCAACAGAGGUAUCUUUACUGUUAAGUCUUUAUAUAACAAUAUUAAUUGUACAGGAGAAACUAACAUUCAGUGGAACAGAAUUUGGGAAAUGAAAAUAACUCCUUCAAUCAAAAUCUUUAUCUGGAAGGAAACACACUCUAUACUUCCAAAUAGUGUGAGAGUUACUGCCAUGAUACCGGAAAUAGACGUCUGUUGCAAAUUCUGUAAUGUAGAGGAUGAAUCUCUUACUCAUUUAUUCAUGAAAUGCAACUUCACAGAACAGGUAUGGAUGCAUCUUAAUUUUGAUGUUGACAAUGUAAUGCAAAAUGAUAACACUUUUCAUGAUUGGUUAAAUGGUUGGUUUACUCAAGUAGAUAGAGAAAACAAUGUAAUUAAAUGGAAGGUUUUUUUUGUAGUAUCGUAACAUGGCAUGUUUGGAAAGCAAGAUGUAAUCGUGUAUUCAAAAAAGAAAUUCAAAAUAGUACUGUAAC
Papaver somniferum (opium poppy) is the source of this 1604-nucleotide long non-coding RNA. RefSeq lists it as uncharacterized. Lineage: Eukaryota; Viridiplantae; Streptophyta; Magnoliopsida; Ranunculales; Papaveraceae. The record is from RefSeq and is a predicted model, not a curated record. The transcript has 3 exons.